GAUGAACGCUGGCGGCGUGCCUAAUACAUGCAAGUAGAACGCUGAAGGAGGAGCUUGCUCUUCUGGAUGAGUUGCGAACGGGUGAGUAACGCGUAGGUAACCUGCCUGGUAGCGGGGGAUAACUAUUGGAAACGAUAGCUAAUACCGCAUGACAACAGUUAUUGCAUGAUAACUGUUUAAAAGGGGCAACUGCUCCACUACCAGAUGGACCUGCGUUGUAUUAGCUAGUUGGUGAGGUAACGGCUCACCAAGGCGACGAUACAUAGCCGACCUGAGAGGGUGAUCGGCCACACUGGGACUGAGACACGGCCCAGACUCCUACGGGAGGCAGCAGUAGGGAAUCUUCGGCAAUGGACGGAAGUCUGACCGAGCAACGCCGCGUGAGUGAAGAAGGUUGUCGGACCGUAAAGCUCUGUUGUAAGAGAAGAACGAGUGUGAGAGUGGAAAGUUCACACUGUGACGGUAUCUUACCAGAAAGGGACGGCUAACUACGUG
This 495-nucleotide ribosomal RNA is filed under the name uncultured bacterium. Its description in RNAcentral is "partial 16S ribosomal RNA". It matches the Rfam family "Bacterial small subunit ribosomal RNA", at positions 28 to 507 of the family's 1533-position model. The record is from RNAcentral.